CGUGUAGGCGGAUCUGCAAGUCGAAUGUGAAAACCGGUGGCUCAACUGCCGGCCUGCAUUCGAAACUGGAGACCUUGAGUACGGGAGAGGAAAGCGGAAUUCCUGGUGUAGCGGUGAAAUGCGUAGAUAUCAGGAGGAACACCGGUGGCGAAGGCGGCUUUCUGGCCCGAUACUGACGCUGAGGCGCGAAGGCUAGGGGAGCAAACA
This 207-nucleotide ribosomal RNA is filed under the name uncultured bacterium. Its description in RNAcentral is "partial 16S ribosomal RNA". It matches the Rfam family "Bacterial small subunit ribosomal RNA", at positions 568 to 774 of the family's 1533-position model. The record is from RNAcentral.